UUGGGGGGCAGGAAGUGGCCCGUUCCUCCUUUCGGAGAGCGUUUCCGGAGCGCCUACUGUGUGCCCCACGCUGGGGGGUGGGGGCCGUAAUGGGGAGGAGAAGUCAUGCAGAUCCUAACGUUUGUUAGUCUGUUCCCUCCACUGGGAUCUCCCGCCGGCGGGUUGAUUGUUCCCAUUGCUUGGAGAGGAAACUGAGGCCCAGUUGGUCCGGGGAUUUACUGCCCGCCCCCCAACUGCACUAUUUACUUUGGUGGAAAAUGUGAAAUAACUCCCUGCCUCUCACUGGGAGCCGAUUGCUUACAGUCACUCUGGGACCUCCGCACAGCGGUAUGUUGUACUGGGGUGUACGGAUCCAUGGUAUUAAGUAUAUCCACAUUGUUGUACGGCCAUUUCCAGGACUUCUUCAUCUUCUCAAAUGGAAACUCUGCACCCGUUAAAUAGUAGCUCCCUAUUGCCUGUUUUCCCCAGCCCCUGGCAGCCACCAUUUUACUUUUUGUAUCGAUAAAUUUGA
Long non-coding RNA from Odocoileus virginianus texanus, 511 nucleotides. RefSeq lists it as uncharacterized. The record is from RefSeq and is a predicted model, not a curated record. Lineage: Eukaryota; Metazoa; Chordata; Mammalia; Artiodactyla; Cervidae.